AUUGAACGCUGGCGGCAGGCUUAACACAUGCAAGUCGAGCGCCCCGCAAGGGGAGCGGCAGACGGGUGAGUAACGCGUGGGAACCUACCUGAAGGUACGGAACAACUCCGGGAAACUGGAGCUAAUACCGUAUGUGCCCGAAAGGGGAAAGAUUUAUCGCCUUCAGAUGGGCCCGCGUCAGAUUAGCUAGUUGGUGAGGUAACGGCUCACCAAGGCGACGAUCUGUAGCUGGUCUGAGAGGAUGAUCAGCCACACUGGGACUGAGACACGGCCCAGACUCCUACGGGAGGCAGCAGUGGGGAAUAUUGGACAAUGGGCGAAAGCCUGAUCCAGCCAUGCCGCGUGAGUGAUGACGGCCUUAGGGUUGUAAAGCUCUUUCGACGGGGACGAUAAUGACGGUACCCGUAGAAGAAGCCCCGGCUAACUUCGUGCCAGCCGCCGCAGUAA
This 447-nucleotide ribosomal RNA is filed under the name uncultured bacterium. RNAcentral's name for it is "partial 16S ribosomal RNA". It matches the Rfam family "Bacterial small subunit ribosomal RNA", at positions 30 to 523 of the family's 1533-position model. The record is from RNAcentral.